CAUUGAAAACAAAAGAAAGAUUAUACCUAAAACGUUCCAGCAACUCGAACUCGAAUGGCAAUCACAUCCAAGGGCUCUCCUCCUUCUUCCUUGCUGUGAUCACAAGAGAUGGGUGAUGGUUUUGGGGGUGAUGGAUGGUAAGAAUGGCGUGGGAUGGCUGAUGAGGGUGAAAGGUGCGGCUGAAUGUGUGUGGGAGUGAAUGGCUUGAAUGAAUGAUGUAGAACGGUGUCUAAGGUUGCGGCAAAGGUGUUUUUGAAUGGUAUGAGGGGUGGUCAUGAAUUUGUGGCUGAAAACUUAUAUUUAUAGGCUAGGGUUUUCAUAAAAUCUAAUGGGAAAAGGUUAGGGUUUUGUAGAUAAAAGGCUUGGCCCAUCCAAGGGUGAAAAGACCUAGGGUUUUAUGCAGAUUUUUAGGCUUUUAGAACAUUAGGUGCGACACAAACCCUAGGGGGGAUAGAUUAGGGUUUAACUUGGCAGAAAUUAAAGAAUUAGGCCCUAAGGUUCGGCACAAUUAAUUUAAUCCACUAAGGAAAGGGUUUGGCCCAAUUAAUUUCAUAAAAGAUUUGUAUAACCCAAAUCCACAAGGACUAAGGCCUAAUAAAUCAGAAUCCACAAGGGAAAAAGAUUAGUGAAGUCACGGCAAGGGACUUUAGGGAAGGAUUAGGAACUCCCAAGUCAAGAAUAGAAACUUUCAAGAAUGGAAACCUCCAAGAAUAGAAACUUCCAACUUUAGAAACUUUGGUUUCCAAUUCUGAACUCCUUGUUCUUCAUUUUCAUUUCUUCAUUUCAUUAUUCAUUCCUAGCCUCCUUUGAUCUUCAAUUUUGUCCAUUCCUUUAGCUCCAAGCAUGUGUCAUCCAUUCAAAGCCCAAUUUUGCUCCAAAAAGGCUCCAAAUGCAUUUAUUUGCCACAUUAGCCAUAUAAACCUGAAAUUGCACGAAAAUGACUUUAAACACUAAAAUAACUAAAGAAAAACAACAUAAAUGCACAAGAACAAGCUAACUAAGUCGCAUGAAUAUACUCCUAUCAAUUACAAAACAAAGUAAAUUAGGUACGAAAUUGGGUAAUUUGAAUGGGCAAAAGGCUAGCUAGAAGGUCCUUCUCCACACAUGACACAUAUGCAUAAAAAUCGAUCUCCAAUUAUUCUUCCGAUAAACCAUGAAUGACAAUACCCCAAAUUAAUCGUGAGAAGCAAUUAACUUUCAUAUUUUCCUAAAUUCAUUGAAUUGGACACAGCGAUACAACCAAAUUAUUCUUAUCAAGUUCCCUACAUGAACUGCAUAAUAGAGAUACAUAUCAAAGAUCAUUAAGUUCUAUGAAAAUCAUAAGCAUUGAUAAGGCAUUCGUAACUAUGAACUGCAUGAUACUUCUGCUAAGAAUUCACUUAACACAAUCAUGACUAGUGACUUUUACUACUUAUGAAUAUAAGUUCAUAACGAUUAGGUGAAAUUCCCUUAUAUUCUAGCAUCAAAUUCCUGCAUACAAACUAAGUAUGCAUCCUUAAUUAACACACAAGAAUAAGUUAUCAAUCAAACAGUUAAGCAAAUUGCAUUCACGAUUUAUGAAAUCAUAACUGGAAGUAAUCAAUUCAUAUCACAUAUAUGUUUAUGGCUUUGAAUUCACCUCUAACUAAAACGAAUUUAGUUCCUCAUAUUCAUCAUAAUUGAAAACCAAAUUUAACCAAACAUUGGACUAAAACUAAGGAUAGAAUGCUGGAAGCAUAAAAGCACACCACAAAGUAGCACACAAAUAUCCUAUUAAUUUUCCUUAUUAACACUAAGAUUUGUCAAUUGUAGCAUAUGAAAAUAAGGGUCUUUCCCGCAGAAGACUGUUUUAUCUAACGACUUAAAAUCUCACAAAAAUUGGUUGUUGUCCUUACUGACCAAACACUAGACACACAGCACGACACUCACACAAGGAGUUGAUUUUCUAUUUAAAUUCAAUCGUACAAAAAUAGUAAAGAAACAAAAUUUGAGUAGUUCACAAGUUUAAGAAAAACGAGUUAGGGGAAUUGCUAUCCACCACCAAAUAAUCAUGCAAACAUGUUAUGUUUCAUUCAAAUUCCUUUUAUUUCCGGAUGAAGAUGCUCAAGUUGGCUCAAUGUUAGAAUACAACCUAUUACUCUUUCUUACGUAGAAUGUUAAGAGAAUGGCGUUUUCAACUUAACUUAGUUCCUAGGAUGCAAUCUAGAAUGGCAUGUUCAUAGAUUUAACAAGUAGAAAUCAUUAAGAACGAAAAAAGUUUGAGUCAUCACAAGGCAUGGUAAGUACUAGCGUUGUCUUAAUUAUCCUAGAAAUUGGUUCACUUGUUAAUCGCAAUUAACAAGUACUACUCUAGAAUAUAUGUAGGUCUUCAUUCAACAAGGGCAUGCAUACACAUAUUCAUAGCAUUUGAAUCCUAGAUAUGCUUACUAAGUAUGCAUCCAUAGAAAACAUAUAAAGAAUUCAUCACUGACAUAAGUAGUAAAUCAAUUUUCAUCCAUUCAUAAAAGCAAUUCAACGAAAUGUCAUAACAAACUUGCAAGCAUAUUCGGGGCUUCAAAACAACCCCUAACUACUUAAAAUUUAGUUACACAUAAUUCUCAAAUUAAACCAAAAGUAAAACAUGGGGUUGAGAAGAUAAAACCAAGAUAAAUCGAGCAAGGCCUCUUCUUCUUUCAUUCCUUGCUUUCUGCCAUGCCUUUUCUCUGAUUCUUCCUUGAUUUCCUUUUUUUUUUUUUUUUGCUGUGUGUUCUUGUUCUCUUUUUAUAAGAUGUGCAUUUCCACUUGCUUUGCUGUCUUGCUUUGCUUUCUUUGUUGUCUUCUUUUGCUUUCUUUGUUGUCUUCUUUUUCUCUUCUUAGCUGUCUCCUUUUGUAUUAGUUGUGCAUGUGCUUUUCUUCCCUUUGCCAUGCCUUUUCCUUCUCUUUCUAGCUGUGCAUUUCCACUUGCUCCAAAGGCAAAUGAGUGCAAUCAUAACCCCAUUUGCUGCUGAGUGUUGAUGACAAAGUAAAACACAAAACAAGUGCCUUUACUUUCUCAUUUUAUUAGCCAAAUCUGCUUAGCCUUUUCUGAACCUUUUAGUGUUAUAAUGCCCAUAACUUCUUCUAGAAAAAUGAUAUUAACAAUCCGUUAAUUGCUCCAGAAAAUAGACAUCCGUAGCUUUCCAAGCAUAUAGGGCUCAUUCUCUAAUUCAUUUUGAGCUGUUCGCAACAUGCUUCCAAAGUCAGCUAAUCGGCACAGGUAGUUUUGACGAAUUUGUUACUUAAUAUCCCACUUGUGCUACUUUUCUUUUCUUUGCUUGACAAAUCACACAAAACACAAAAUAAAAAAAGUAAAUAGCUCAAAAAUAUAAGGAACUAAGAAAAGACAAGUGAAUUUGAUGUAAAAUAUAUAUAAAUAUGAGCUUAUCAAAUACACCUAGAAACGCUCCAGCACCCAAUGGCAGAUUUGGCACAAUCCUUGGCUGCUAGGCACGGCACAAGUCCUCCUUCCUCCCUUGCAAAGCUCAGCACAAGUCUCUGAAAGAACUCAGAAAACUGCGGCACUCAUGUAUAUUUUCUUCUCUUAUUUCUCUUAUGUGUGUGGUGCACGAAAUUCUGGUCAGAAUUAUGUAUUUAUAGGCUACGGUUUCGGCACAAAGGUUGUGGAGGAGAAGGAUUACACAAUCCUAGAGGAAUAGGACUAGGAAAUUCGGCACAAAGCUUCUAAAAAGGGAUAUCUGGCAGAUUUCUAGAAGAGAAGGGAUUAUAUUCGUCAGAUUUCUAGGGGAAAAAUGGAUUAGGUUAUUUGCAUUGUUUCAGGGCUUCUAGAAUCAGAUAUUGGGUAUUCUAAUGUGAUAAGGAGUCCCCCUUGCAGCUAGAAUUAAGGUAGGAAAGGAUUAGGUUAUGAUAAGAUAAGAUAAGUUUAGUUUGGAUAAGAUAAGAUUGGAUAAUGUUUUAGAUAAUGUUCGUUCCUUUUAGUUGAUUUCUUAUCUUCUUUGUCUGGACUUUAUUUUCUUCAUAUCUUCAGCAUAUUACUAGCCUCUUGAACAUCAAAAACGUCCAUCCACCUUGCUCCACUCAUGUGUUAUCCAUUCUUGGCCCAAAACUGCUCCAAAAUGCUCCAAAUUGCACUUUUUUGCCAACUUUGUCAUUUGGACCUACAAACACACGAAAAUAGCUUAAAACACUCUAAUAAACAGAAAUUAGCUAUGUAAAUGCAAGAAAACAAGCUAACUAAGUUGUAUAAAUAUGCUCCUUCAAUAUGCUUAAACAAUAAGUCCAAGGAAUAUGUAAUUGGGAGAAUGUGAUCUAAAGAAAAUAGAUUCAUGAGACUAUUCUCUUUCGUAUACAUAUCCUAAACGUUCAUGAUCAUAGGAUUGUCAAUUGGGCAUUGACAGUCCAUUAAGAUCAGUACGUACUAUGUCUUCUCUUAGAGAGAGUGACUGGUUUUGCUUUAUUGGUGUAACUGACACCAAGACAAGCAUGUAGGUGCUCAAUAGAGAAUGAGUCCAUUGAACGUGAUCAACGAAGAGUUUUCAUACACAUGUCACAUGAGAACUCAUGGUUGGGUGAUAGGAGCAUAUUUAUGCGACUUAGUUAGCUUGCUUCUUGGCAUUUAUGUUGUUUUCCUUAGUUAUUUUAGUGUUUAAAGUCAUUUUCGUGCAAUUUCAGGUUCUAAGGACAAAGUAUGCAAAAAGAUGCAUUUUGGAGCCUUUUGGAGCAGUUUUGGGCAUGAAUUGAAUAUCUUAUGCUUGGAGUAAUAUUGAUUGACGAAAUUGAAGGCCUAAAAGAUGUUAGAAGUCAGUUUGGAAGCUUAGAAGACACAAUUUCAGCACCUCCUACAAAGGUGGCGCCUUGUCCCCUUUGUGCUUCAUCCUUGUCUCCUCUUGUGCAACAAUUUCCCUUGCCAUGUUUCCCUAAUUUCUAAACCAAAAACACCUUUCCCUUUCUCCCUUGUCCUUUGCAGCACCAUACAUCCUCUUUCCCUUUUAAUUUCUGACCUUAAGUACCUUUCCUAUAUUGUGCCACAUCUUUGUUGCCUAUUCUCUUUAAUUUCUGAUUCUUUCUUACCUAUUUCUGACCCAAAAUUACAUUCCCUUUUGUUUCAAUUCUUGCUGCACAAAGGGAGAGGAUUCUUACCUAUUUUGUGCCUCAAAACACAUUCCUAAAUCUGUCCUACAAUUUCUGCAGAAUUUCCCUUUCCUAUUCUCUUUAAUUCCUACACCUUUCUUGCCUAUUUUCCAUUGAUUUCUGAUUCCAAAUCUAAUAAAUUCGUAGCCCUUCCUUUCCCUAUAAAUAAGACCCCUUUCUGACCAUUCUAAGCAUUCCACCCUUCACCAUAACCAACCUAUAUCCCUCCACCACCACAAAUCACGCAGAAACCAUCCAACCUCCCUUUGCCGUGCCCAUCCUUCACCAAUCUCCAUAACUUCUGACCCUAAACACAAUCCAUACACUCACCCACUUAUGUGCCGCAACAAGAAGGAAGAAGGAAGGACCCUUGGAUGUCCAAGCUUCAUUGUUGGUGCAUUCUAGGUGUAAUUUGUUUUAUGAUUUCAAUGUGUAAUUUCUUUUCUUUUCGUUUUGCUAUGAACAUGAGUGGCUAAACCCCUAUUGGUUAGGGGUGAUUUCAAAGCCAUGACUAUGUGUGCAAUUUGAUUUGAUAAAUUCCAGUUAUGAAUUCUUGAAUCGUGAAUGCAAUUGGUUUAACUAUUUGAUUAAUAACUUAUUUGUGUUUGUUAAUUAGGGGUCGACACUUGAUUGGCAUGCAUAAAUCUGAUGCUAGAGUAUAAGGAUGUUUCACAUCAUCAUUACAAAAUUAUAUUCAUAUGUAGUGAAGGUUGCUAGUCACAAUCGCGUUAAGUUCGAUUCCUAGCAUGAGUGACAUGAUGUCAUAGUUGCAAGUGCUUUGUCAUUGCUUAUGGUUUUCAUUGAACGUAAUGAUCUUUGAUCGUAUCUCUAUUAUGAUGUCAUGUAGGGGACCUUUAAAGAAUGCUUUGGGUUGUCGAAUGAUGCCAUCCAAUCCAACAAUACAAGGAAAAUCUGCGAGUUAGCUAGUGAUGUCACGGUUAAUUUGGGGCAAUGUCGUUCAUAAUUCUAUGAAGGAAUAACUGGAAAUCGAGUCGUUUGCAUACGUGUCAUGUGUGGAGAAAGAGCCUUUAACUAAUCCAUCAUCCAUUUAAACUCCCAAUUCGUUUUACAAUCUGUUUUAAUUACAACGUUUUGUCUUGUUUUCAAUUUCGUCAAAACCAAAUCCCCCUUUAUUUUAAAGUGUUAGAUUAGUUAGAAAUCCAUUUAGUUUGUGUUUUUAAGUGUUUUGAUUCAAGUUGUAACCCAAUUUUGUCCAAAUUUGUGUUUGUGUUCAAAACUGUCCAGAAAGUGUUUUUUAGGCAGUUUUGAGUGUUUGGUUGCUGUUUUGAGUCUUUUGGUUUGUUUUAGUGUUUUAAAUUUUAGUUUUGCAUUCUUUGAGUCUAGUUUAGUGUUUUAAACUUUGUUUUUACGUUUUUAAGUCAGUUUUCAAGUGUUUAGCAAUCCUUCCUAAUCCCCGGUUUAGAACGAUCCCUACUUACAUACUUUGCUACAAUUGAUAAAAAGAGGGUUUAAUUUGUGUGCUUUUAUAUUUCGCAUCAUUGGGAUAAUGCAAAGUAGUCAUUUGACUUGAGGUAUCAUAGUUGUCUUGUAGUUAGAUCCUUGAUCUUUGACUAUAUCAAUGUCACUCUAUCAAAGGGUGUCCACAACAUAGUUGGGGUUAAGCCACUGAUACGAAAAUUAUCUUAACACACAGAUUAAACCCUCUUGUUGUCAAUUGUAGUAAAGAAUGCAAGUAGGGAUCGUUCUAGGCCAGGGAUUAUGAGGGAUUGCUAAAACACUUGAAACUGACUU
This 6837-nucleotide long non-coding RNA is filed under the name Malus domestica (apple). RNAcentral's name for it is "long non-coding RNA (MDOM_LNC018428)". The record is from RNAcentral. Lineage: Eukaryota; Viridiplantae; Streptophyta; Magnoliopsida; Rosales; Rosaceae.